CAGUUUGGGUGGCUGAUGAAAACACUCUCAGCUAUUUGCAGUAUGCCAAAGGCCUGGAGCUAACGCUCAACUUAGGUACAGCUGUGUCUUUAUCAUAGGAUGUGUGUGCCUCAAGGACCCAAGAAACAGCCUUCCUAAAUGCAUG
RNAcentral lists this small RNA (145 nucleotides) under Peromyscus maniculatus bairdii (prairie deer mouse). RNAcentral's name for it is "FAS antisense RNA 1 conserved region (ENSPEMG00000003802.2)". The record is from RNAcentral. Lineage: Eukaryota; Metazoa; Chordata; Mammalia; Rodentia; Cricetidae.